This is a long non-coding RNA of Chinchilla lanigera (long-tailed chinchilla), 2411 nucleotides long. RefSeq lists it as uncharacterized. The transcript is spliced from 3 exons. NCBI's taxonomy places the organism in Eukaryota, Metazoa, Chordata, Mammalia, Rodentia, Chinchillidae. The record is from RefSeq and is a predicted model, not a curated record.
UUCAGGUGUGCACCUCACCAGCUAACGUGGAAUUUCAUCCCACCCAAACCUGCUUUCUUGUCCCAGUCUCUGGUCCUCAUGAAGGAGGAUGUGCCUGGUAUCCCUGGGAUUGCCGCUGGCCCCUCGAAUGUUACAGGCUGUGUGUGUGCCCAGAGAGGAGGCCAGGUUAACGACUUGUGGAAAACUGUCAGUUUUGCCUUUUGCAUUUUGUCAUUUCCAAUUUCCUUGCCCUGUCUCUCUGAUUAAGUUCUAAUCACUCAAAAAAUAUUGAGGAUAGAUGAGAAUGGAUAGACCCUUCCAAGUUUCUUCUGGGCAGUGUCAGUGCCUCAUUGGAGAUUUGGGGGUGAGUGGGUGUGCAUUCACCCUUACAUGCCCGACCACCACCCCAGCCUGACCCCACGGCCACGCGGUGAAUUCACAUCCUGCAGGGGAGCGCCCCCCCCAUCUGACCGAAGGAAACAAUUUCAAUUCAAUCAGAGGCCUCCUGCGGUUGGAGUUUACAAGGACUGCUGCCAAAUCCCACUCGCUUGGCGAACAAACUGUGCAGACGUCAGGCCUGUUGAGAGGGCGAGGCGCGUUUCUUACUUUCAAAAGAGGGUUGAUCCAAGAUGUUUGUAUUAUUUCAGUGCUGUUUUUCCUAUGGAGCUGGGCUUUGCUGGGGUGGGGGUGGAAGUUCUUUUCUUGUUCUUGAUAUUUUCCAGAGAUCAAAAUUAAAACACAAUGUGCUCAGAGUAAUCAGCAAGCUCUCAGAAGAAUUGCCUGUACUUUUGGUUUCUAGAAAAACCCACACAGUACUUCUUAACAUCGAGUGAUGUGCAGAGGUACGCGGACAGCAGGGAGACCGAGAUCUCCGCACACGGAGCACCUGCCCGAGCCUCCGCAUCUCGAGCAGGUGUGAAAACAAACAGCAGCCCCAGAGCUAACUCCCUCAGCUUCCUCCCGCACCGUCCUCCUGGGCAGAGCCCUGCGGAAAGCCGCGCAAGCGAGCAAGGCCGUUGGACAGCGCGUGACCCACACCAGCCCCGCCGCACACUGCCCCGAACCGAAGUCCUUUCCACCGGGACGGAGCCGGAUUUUACACCUCUGACUCCUGUCAGUACUCGGAAUGGCGGAGCUGAAGGACUGACUCACUCGCGCUGGCCCUCCCGGGCUGUGUGGGCCGCCGCCCGCUCGCGCGGCAGCAUUUGAACUCACCGCGUCGGCCUGUGCGAGCGCUCCGCGGCAGGCAGGGAGCCGGGGGAGCUGCGUUCGCUUACGGAGCCGCGUCGGGAGGCAGGGCUGGCGCGGGCCUGCUGGCCGUACUUCACUGCGCACCGGCCGCUCCAGGCCCGAGACACAAGAGGAGGCUUUCCUGAAGGGCCUUUUAGAGACAGGCGCGAGCUGAAACCCGGCCCCGAGCGCUCCGCACGCUUUGAGCGCGCUGCGCAUCUGCCCCCGGCAGAGGAAGGCCCGGGUGGAGCCCUGGGCAGGCCGCAGAAAUGGGAAUCUUCAAAACAAGGACAGUCUCCUCCCUUUCUGUCCAUCCCCUUCAAUUUUCUGAUCCUUUCCCUCCACUCCCUCUUUCUUGUAAAGACUCAAACUCUGAAAUAAUUAUAUGAAAUUAAGUCGGUAAACGCCAGCCUCGCUUCCUCGAGAUUGAUGUGUUCACGUUUCGGGCAGUUUUCUCAGGACUCGGAGGGACUAUUAUUUCUGAGCUUGGCUGGGAAUCUCCCUCCUCCCCGGGCAGAGAAGAGCCUCCUCCUCCGAAACCGCAGUUGCUCUCUUCCGUGACACCUCCCCCGAGACACGGCCUGUGCCCAGGAGAGGUUCACGCAGUGCGUUUCUGUUUGUUUGUUUGCUUUCCUGAGUGCUCAAGGAUUUUCUUCUGGCCACACCUACCCGCAGCUGCAAAAGAGGAGAAACUCUCUGUGCCAGGCUGAGUGGGGAAAGCACGUGUCCCUUGGCCACAGGGAGGGACGGUUUGCCAGUCCGGCUCGUGGGGAAGCGGGUGAGGGAGACUCUUUCCAGCCCCACCUGUCUGCUCCUAUCUGUGUAUCGGGAUGAGCAGGCGGUGGAUUGUGAGCGAAAAGGCAUCUUCAUGCAAAUUAUAUUGCCCUGAAAAAUAAUAACUCACAACGGUGUGACCUUGCUCUCACUUUCCACUACGUGCAUAAGAUAAAUGCGAGAUAACUAGGAUUCUCUGCCCUGGAGAAUGGCUUGGGCGCCCUGUCCUGCAGCUGGGCUGAAUUCCCCACGUUGCCUUGGAGCCUGCAGGGAGACUAGCAGCGUCCGGUUCAGGAGGUGCCUGCCUGCCUGCCCUGACACAUCUCUGCUAAUUAUGACGGCUUUGUAACCCUGGGCCCUUCUGCCCCCGGGGCUCGUAAAAGGUGCCCGCAACCUCAGCCUUCCUGUGCCUCCCUGCCCCUAGGUAG